RNAcentral lists this ribosomal RNA (581 nucleotides) under Staphylococcus aureus. RNAcentral describes it as "partial 23S ribosomal RNA". It matches the Rfam family "Bacterial large subunit ribosomal RNA", at positions 1627 to 2207 of the family's 2925-position model. Lineage: Bacteria; Bacillati; Bacillota; Bacilli; Caryophanales; Staphylococcaceae. The record is from RNAcentral.
AUAGAAAAUAGGUGCCCGUACCGCAAACCGACACAGGUAGUCAAGAUGAGAAUUCUAAGGUGAGCGAGCGAACUCUCGUUAAGGAACUCGGCAAAAUGACCCCGUAACUUCGGGAGAAGGGGUGCUCUUUAGGGUUAACGCCCAGAAGAGCCGCAGUGAAUAGGCCCAAGCGACUGUUUAUCAAAAACACAGGUCUCUGCUAAACCGUAAGGUGAUGUAUAGGGGCUGACGCCUGCCCGGUGCUGGAAGGUUAAGAGGAGUGGUUAGCUUCUGCGAAGCUACGAAUCGAAGCCCCAGUAAACGGCGGCCGUAACUAUAACGGUCCUAAGGUAGCGAAAUUCCUUGUCGGGUAAGUUCCGACCCGCACGAAAGGCGUAACGAUUUGGGCACUGUCUCAACGAGAGACUCGGUGAAAUCAUAGUACCUGUGAAGAUGCAGGUUACCCGCGACAGGACGGAAAGACCCCGUGGAGCUUUACUGUAGCCUGAUAUUGAAAUUCGGCACAGCUUGUACAGGAUAGGUAGGAGCCUUUGAAACGUGAGCGCUAGCUUACGUGGAGGCGCUGGUGGGAUACUACCCUA